RNAcentral lists this ribosomal RNA (253 nucleotides) under uncultured bacterium. Its description in RNAcentral is "partial 16S ribosomal RNA". It matches the Rfam family "Bacterial small subunit ribosomal RNA", at positions 524 to 776 of the family's 1533-position model. The record is from RNAcentral.
UACGUAGGUGGCAAGCGUUGUCCGGAUUUACUGGGCGUAAAGAGCGCGCAGGCGGUCAGAUAAGUCGAAUGUGAAAGCCCCUGGCUCAACUGGGGAGGGUCAUUCGAUACUGUUCGACUCGAAGGCAGGAGAGGGAAGUGGAAUUCCCGGUGUAGUGGUGAAAUGCGUAGAUAUCGGGAGGAACACCAGUGGCGAAGGCGACUUCCUGGCCUGUUCUUGACGCUGAGGCGCGAAAGCUAGGGGAGCAAACAGG